Molecule: ribosomal RNA, 427 nt
Filed under: uncultured prokaryote
Description: bacterial SSU rRNA
Rfam family: Bacterial small subunit ribosomal RNA
Source: RNAcentral
UGAGGAAUAUUGCGCAAUGGGGGCAACCCUGACGCAGCAACGCCGCGUGAGUGAGGAAGGUUUUCGGACCGUAAAGCUCUGUCGAGCGGGAAGAAAUGUAUCGUGGAUAAUAUCCAUGAUAUUUGACGGUACCAUUCAAGAAAGCUCCGGCUAACUACGUGCCAGCAGCCGCGGUGAUACGUAGGGAGCGAGCGUUAUCCGGAUUUAUUGGGCGUAAAGCGUGCGCAGCUGGCUUAUUAAGUAUGAAAUUAAAGCCCGAAGCUUAACUUCGGUUCGUUUCAUAAACUGGUAGGCUUGAGUGUGGUAGAGGUAAGUGGAAUUUCUAGUGUAGCGGUAAAAUGCGUAGAUAUUAGAAGGAACAUCAGUGGCGAAGGCGACUUACUGGGCCAUUACUGACAGUCAUGCACGAAAGCGUGGGGAGCAAAUA